Molecule: ribosomal RNA, 430 nt
Filed under: uncultured Desulfomonile sp.
Lineage: Bacteria; Pseudomonadati; Thermodesulfobacteriota; Desulfomonilia; Desulfomonilales; Desulfomonilaceae
Description: bacterial SSU rRNA
Rfam family: Bacterial small subunit ribosomal RNA
Source: RNAcentral
UGAGGAAUAUUGCGCAAUGGAGGAAACUCUGACGCAGCAACGCCGCGUGGGUGAAGAAGGCUUUCGGGUUGUAAAGCCCUGUCAGGCGGGAAGAAAACUCCGCAGGUGAAUAGUCUGUGGAACUGACGGUACCGCCAAAGGAAGCACCGGCUAACUCCGUGCCAGCAGCCGCGGUAAGACGGAGGGUGCAAGCGUUGUUCGGAAUCACUGGGCGUAAAGCGCGUGUAGGCGGUCCGAUAAGUCGAGUGUGAAAGCCCGAGGCUCAACCUCGGAAGUGCAUUCGAAACUGUCGGGCUUGAGUACGGGAGAGGGAAGUGGAAUUCCUGGUGUAGAGGUGAAAUUCGUAGAUAUCAGGAGGAACACCGGUGGCGAAGGCGGCUUCCUGGACCGAUACUGACGCUGAGACGCGAAAGCGUGGGGAGCAAACAGG